GCUGUGAUGGCUGAGAGGUUAAGGUGUUGGACUUGAAAUCCAAUGGGGUUCCCCAUGCAGGUUCGAAUCUUGCUCAUAGCG
Monopterus albus (swamp eel) is the source of this 81-nucleotide non-coding RNA. The record is from the annotation of a RefSeq genome assembly. NCBI's taxonomy places the organism in Eukaryota, Metazoa, Chordata, Actinopteri, Synbranchiformes, Synbranchidae.